Molecule: long non-coding RNA, 263 nt
Organism: Ruditapes philippinarum (Manila clam)
Lineage: Eukaryota; Metazoa; Mollusca; Bivalvia; Venerida; Veneridae
Exons: 2
Source: RefSeq, a predicted model, not a curated record
UGCGCACAGAAGAAAUUGUUCACUAUAUAUUCUAUAUAAGGAAAAAAAACAAAGGGCCAUAAUUAGGUCAAAUAUAUACCAAUUGCAAAACCCUGGCAAUAUGUGUCAGGGCACUUGAUGACAAAGCUUCUGAGAAAUUUGGUCAAAAUCCGUUGAGAAAUGUAGGAGUUGCGCACAGAAGAAAUUGUUCACUAUAUAUUCUAUAUAAGGAAAAAAAACAAAGGGCCAUAAUUAGGUCAAAUAUAUACAAAUUGCAAAACCCU